Molecule: ribosomal RNA, 253 nt
Filed under: uncultured bacterium
Lineage: Bacteria
Description: partial 16S ribosomal RNA
Rfam family: Bacterial small subunit ribosomal RNA
Source: RNAcentral
UACGUAGGGGACAAGCGUUGUCCGGAUUUACUGGGCGUAAAGGGCACGCAGGCGGUUUUUUAAGUCAGAUGUGAAAGGUCCCGGCUCAACCGGGGAAAUGCAUUUGAAACUGGAGAACUUGAGUAUUGGAGAGGCAAGUGGAAUUCCUAGUGUAGCGGUGAAAUGCGUAGAGAUUAGGAGGAACACCAGUGGCGAAGGCGGCUUGCUGGACAAAUACUGACGCUGAGGUGCGAAAGCGUGGGGAGCAAACAGG